UGAGAACGCGUCGAAUAACAAUUG
RNAcentral lists this non-coding RNA (24 nucleotides) under Mus musculus (house mouse). The record is from RNAcentral. Lineage: Eukaryota; Metazoa; Chordata; Mammalia; Rodentia; Muridae.